AACGAACGCUGGCGGCAUGCCUAACACAUGCAAGUCGAACGAGACCUUCGGGUCUAGUGGCGCACGGGUGCGUAACGCGUGGGAAUCUGCCCUCUGGUACGGAAUAACUCAGGGAAACUUGAGCUAAUACCGUAUAAUGACUUCGGUCCAAAGAUUUAUCGCCUGAGGAGGAGCCCGCGUCGGAUUAGCUAGUUGGUGAGGUAAAGGCUCACCAAGGCGACGAUCCGUAGCUGGUCUGAGAGGAUGAUCAGCCACACUGGGACUGAGACACGGCCCAGACUCCUACGGGAGGCAGCAGUGGGGAAUAUUGGACAAUGGGCGAAAGCCUGAUCCAGCAAUGCCGCGUGAGUGAUGAGGGCCUUAGGGUUGUAAAGCUCUUUUACCCGGGAUGAUAAUGACAGUACCGGGAGAAUAAGCCCCGGCUAACUCCGUGCCAGCCGCCGCGGUAA
RNAcentral lists this ribosomal RNA (449 nucleotides) under uncultured bacterium. Its description in RNAcentral is "partial 16S ribosomal RNA". It matches the Rfam family "Bacterial small subunit ribosomal RNA", at positions 29 to 523 of the family's 1533-position model. The record is from RNAcentral.